This 467-nucleotide ribosomal RNA is filed under the name uncultured bacterium. Its description in RNAcentral is "partial 16S ribosomal RNA". It matches the Rfam family "Bacterial small subunit ribosomal RNA", at positions 28 to 507 of the family's 1533-position model. The record is from RNAcentral.
GACGAACGCUGGCGGCGUGCUUAACACAUGCAAGUCGAACGGAAAGGCCCUGCUUUUGUGGGGUGCUCGAGUGGCGAACGGGUGAGUAACACGUGAGUAACCUGCCCUUGACUUUGGGAUAACUUCAGGAAACUGGGGCUAAUACCGGAUAGGAGCUCCUGCUGCAUGGUGGGGGUUGGAAAGUUUCGGCGGUUGGGGAUGGACUCGCGGCUUAUCAGCUUGUUGGUGGGGUAGUGGCUUACCAAGGCUUUGACGGGUAGCCGGCCUGAGAGGGUGACCGGCCACAUGGGAACUGGAUUCCGGCCCGGCCCCUUACGGAGGCAGCAGUGGGGAAUAUUGCACAAUGGGCGGAAGCCUGAUGCAGCAACGCCGCGUGCGGGAUGACGGCCUUCGGGUUGUAAACCGCUUUCGCCUGUGACGAAGCGUGAGUGACGGUAAUGGGUAAAGAAGCACCGGCUAACUACGUG